This 566-nucleotide ribosomal RNA is filed under the name uncultured bacterium. Its description in RNAcentral is "bacterial SSU rRNA". It matches the Rfam family "Bacterial small subunit ribosomal RNA", at positions 338 to 916 of the family's 1533-position model. The record is from RNAcentral.
CCUACGGGAGGCAGCAGUGGGGAAUUUUCCGCAAUGGGCGAAAGCCUGACGGAGCAAUACCGCGUGAGGGAAGACUGCCUAUGGGUUGUAAACCUCUUUUUUCAGGGAGGAAUAAAAUGACGUGUACCUGAAGAAUAAGCAUCGGCUAACUCCGUGCCAGCAGCCGCGGUAAGACGGAGGAUGCAAGUGUUAUCCGGAAUCACUGGGCGUAAAGCGUUUGUAGGUGGUUUGAUAAGUCAACUGUUAAAUCUUGAGGCUCAACUUCAAAAUCGCAGUCGAAACUAUUAGACUAGAGUAUAGUAGAGGUAAAGGGAAUUUCCAGUGGAGCGGUGAAAUGCGUAGAUAUUGGAAAGAACACCAAUGGCGAAAGCACUUUACUGGGCUAUUACUAACACUCAGAGACGAAAGCUAGGGUAGCAAAUGGGAUUAGAUACCCCAGUAGUCCUAGCCGUAAACUAUGGAUACUAGAUGUUGAACAGAUCGACCUGUGCAGUAUCAAAGCUAACGCGUUAAGUAUCCCGCCUGGGAAGUAUGCACGCAAGUGUGAAACUCAAAGGAAUUGACGG